AGCUUUAUAUUCAAUAAUGAUUUUAAAUUGCAAAUUUAAAGGGAAAGGAUUACUUUUAAGGCUU
This 64-nucleotide transfer RNA is filed under the name Aphthona sp. EMHAU-15071309. Its description in RNAcentral is "tRNA-Cys". The record is from RNAcentral. Lineage: Eukaryota; Metazoa; Arthropoda; Insecta; Coleoptera; Chrysomelidae.